GAUGAACGCUGGCGGCGUGCCUAAUACAUGCAAGUCGAGCGAACAGACGAGGCGCUUGCUCCUUCGACGUUAGCGGAGGACGGGUGAGUAACACGUAGGUAACCUACCUAUAAGACUGGGAAAACUUCGGGACACCGGAGCAUAUACCGGAUAAUAUUUCGAACCGCAUGGUUGGAUAGUGAAAGAUGGCUUUGCUAUAACUUAUAGAUGGACAUGAGCCGUAUUAGCUAGUUGGUAAGGUAAAGGCUUACCAAGGCAACGAUACGUAUCCGACCUGAUAGGGUGAUCGGCCACACUGGAGCUUAGACACGGUCCAUACUCCUACGAGAGGCAGCAGUAUGGAAUGUGCCGCAGUAGUCGAGAACCUGGCGGAGCGGCGCCGCGUGAGUGGUGGAAGUCUUCGGAGCGGGAUACUCGGUUAUGAGUUAUGAACAAACGUGUAAGGAACUGUACACGUCGUGACGGUACCUAAUCAGAAAGCCACGGCUAACUACGUG
RNAcentral lists this ribosomal RNA (497 nucleotides) under uncultured bacterium. Its description in RNAcentral is "partial 16S ribosomal RNA". It matches the Rfam family "Bacterial small subunit ribosomal RNA", at positions 28 to 507 of the family's 1533-position model. The record is from RNAcentral.